Molecule: small RNA, 1335 nt
Filed under: Malus domestica (apple)
Lineage: Eukaryota; Viridiplantae; Streptophyta; Magnoliopsida; Rosales; Rosaceae
Description: sRNA MD04G0006400
Source: RNAcentral
UUACAUUCUAGCCCAUUCAGUCAAUUGCUUUCCCAAAAUAAUUGUAUUUUAAGUAAAAAUUAUUGGGUUGGUUAGAAUUUCAAUUUGGGUUUUGAUUUUUAUGCAUUCAAACUUUCAGUCCACAGUUGAGAGACAAGGAAAAGUUUAGGGUUUUUGUUUGGCCAUAAUUGACGAAGUAAAGCUUUGCUCUUCCCAAGAGCUAUGAACUCUUUAGUUUUCCAAUUUUAUGAAUUGGGUUUUUGUUUUUCUUUUCAGGCACGCAAUCAAAGAUAUGGUGGUGCGCGAAUCACCUAGAAACUAAUAACAGCUUUGAUCUUCCACAGGACUACUCUCUGUUGCUUCUGAAAGAUCUCCAUCUCGAUGUGAAUAGGGUUUAUUCAAUCUGUGUGGAUUACCCAGGUGUUGAAUUUGAUAGAUAAUGUGACUUUUGAGAUGGCAGAGUUUUUGAAAUUGUGUUUUUGGCAUGUCUGAACCUGAAUGAUGCAGCCUUUGAUCUUUCAAAUGGAAGGGUUGUCGAUGAGAUAUUCAGGUGUCGUUAUCAUUCUUAGCCUUCUUUAUUUCAAAACUACCUUAACCUCAAGCUCACCUGCAAGUUCCUGCUCACCAGCUACUUCAGUCCUUUGCUGAAGUCUACAAUUGAGUAGAACCAAUGUCGAGUAUCAAUGGUGAAGAAGAUCUCGAUGAAUGAAAGGAGAUUAGAGUCUCGAUUCUUAUUCCUUGAAGGCGGUGCUCAACCUACGAUAAGGGUUUAAUGAAGAUUCUCGAAUGAGGUUGGUUGAGACCAAAAAAAUGGCCUCUUGAAUUUUGAAUUGUGAUUGGAAAUUGGAGUAUAGGUGGACUUAAAAGACAUCAAGUAUGCAGGGGAAUGGUAGGAUUAUCAUUUUAGAGGUACCAGACUAGCUUACCAUGGAGCUUAUAAUAGUCUAAUUGAUGCUGAAAUCUUAUUUGGCCAAUUUGCUGGAACUACAGUGUUUUUACCGAGAAUCUCUUUAAAGACCACAGAAAGCACUGGACUCCCAUGUGAACUGGUGCGAAAACAGUUUCCUGUGAAAUUGAGUUUUGCACUAACCAUGUUGUGUACGAAGAUAUUUUGCUUCCAUCAAAUAUACGAUAAGGCUACAUUCAUUAUGAUGUUUAAUUCACUUUUCAAAUCUAUGUAGAUAUACAUCUAAAUUGUAUAAGUCGCGCAUAGAACGCUGUAAGUAUAAAAGAGCCUUCCGCAUGCGCAUGAGCGAGUGCAUGGAGGCUAGUUUGUAUAGUAUGAACAAACAAGUACUAUUUCGUUGGAAUACUAUCAAUUUGGACAACAUAUCAAAUAAAAAGUGCACACCAUCA